This 253-nucleotide ribosomal RNA is filed under the name uncultured bacterium. Its description in RNAcentral is "partial 16S ribosomal RNA". It matches the Rfam family "Bacterial small subunit ribosomal RNA", at positions 524 to 776 of the family's 1533-position model. The record is from RNAcentral.
UACGGGGGGGGCAAGCGUUGUUCGGAAUUACUGGGCGUAAAGGGCUCGUAGGCGGCCAACUAAGUCCGACGUGAAAUCCCCAGGCUUAACCUGGGAACUGCGUCGGAUACUGGAUGGCUUGAAUCCGGGAGAGGGAUGCGGAAUUCCAGGUGUAGCGGUGAAAUGCGUAGAUAUCGGGAGGAACACCAGUGGCGAAGGCGACUACCUGGCCUGUUCUUGACGCUGAGGCGCGAAAGCUAGGGUAGCAAACGGG